GACGAACGCUGGCGGCGUGCUUAACACAUGCAAGUCGAACGGAAAGGCCCUGCUUUUGUGGGGUGCUCGAGUGGCGAACGGGUGAGUAACACGUGAGUAACCUGCCCUUGACUUUGGGAUAACUUCAGGAAACUGGGGCUAAUACCGGAUAGGAGCUCCUGCUGCAUGGUGUGGGUUGGAAAGUUUCGGCGGUUGGGUCUGUACUCGCGGCUUAUCAGCUGGUUUGUGGGGUAGUGGCUUACCAAGGCUUUGACGGGUAGCCGGCCUGAGAGGGUGACCGGCCACAUGGGGACUGAGAGAGGGACCAGAAUCCUACGGGAGGCAGCAGUGGGGAAUAUUGCACAAUGGGCGGAAGCCUGAUGCAGCAACGCCGCGUGCGGGAUGACGGCCUUCGGGUUGUAAACCGAUUUCGCCUGUGACGAAGCGUGAGUGACGGUAAUGGGUAAAGAAGCACCGGCUAACUACGUG
RNAcentral lists this ribosomal RNA (468 nucleotides) under uncultured bacterium. Its description in RNAcentral is "partial 16S ribosomal RNA". It matches the Rfam family "Bacterial small subunit ribosomal RNA", at positions 28 to 507 of the family's 1533-position model. The record is from RNAcentral.